GUAGAGACGGGAUUUCUCCAUGUUGGUCAGGCUGGUGGCGAACUCCCAGGUGUGCCUACCCUGGCACCGGUUCCCACGGAGCUUUCUGCCCUGGUAAAUUGUGAUUCCGGAUAUUCGUCUGCUGGUCUCUCCAGGUUGGGGAGUAAUGGUUUGCCCCAUGACCUCUCUUGCCAUAAGAAUCUAAAAGAACUGUUUGGUUUUUAGUUUGGUUAGCCUUCUCCUUGUUGUUAGGAUGAAGUGCUGACUCCCAAGCUUCGUGCUUGCUGGACUGGAAAUUGGAAGUCUGCCUGCCAGUUUUAAGAACCUAAAAAGUGAUGAACUGAAAAUGUCAGUUAAAAAGGCCUAUGUAAUACUCAGCAACAGGAUCACGCUAUUGUGUUUGGGAGAAUAAACUUAUUUCAAGCACAAAGAUUCCUCCUUCCUCUUUUAAAAUCUCUACUUUCUGUGCUCCUCCCCACUUUGAGGGAAGUGAUACACUAAAAUUAAGUGAUGGCUUAUUAUCAUGGUUAACCAGUCUGUCUUGAAUUUGCAGCCUGAGCUGACCAGCGCUUAUCCUCAUGUGACCUUGGGUGAAUUAAUGGACAUCUCUGAACCUCCAUUUUCUCCUGUGUAAAAUAGCAGCUGCAGCAAAAAUGAAAUAUCAAUAAUCUCUGAAAAGAAUUUAGCUCAGUGUUUGGUGAAGAUUGCCUCUCCUGAAGUCUAGAAAAGGGCUGGUUUGGUAUGUAUUCAAAAUCUAAAUGUUCUUUUGAAACAGCAACUGAGAAACACUGUAUUGAAAUUAAAGUGGCAGUUUAGAAGAAGUUUAAAAAGCUGAGAAAGUAUGGAUUUUGCGAUGAUCAGGGGUAAUCUCGCCACCUGCAAGAGAAAACAAACAUCCUGCUAUGUUUUUUGCUUUGCUGUAAUCACUUCGACAUCUAGCCCGUAAGUGAACAAAGAUGGGAAAAGAUUGGCAAGGAUCAAAAUAGAAUUGGAGAAGAGUUUCAAGAAGAGGUCAAUGGAGCUGGUCAUGAACACAUAUGGAGAAGACUGACAGAUGUACCAUACAAAAACAGAUAACAGUAUACAUGUGGUAUUGAAGUAUCAUGGGGGACAAUUGAAAAAAAAAGUCUAAAAGGCUCUCCGGAGGAUUACAGGUGAAAACAGCUCUGAGAAGCACUAACUCACACCACUAGAACGGGGCAGACGGAACAUGGCAGAAGGGCAGGGGCCCGAUACAGGACCUCAAGGAAGAAAGGAACUUGGGAGGACAGGGAGGUGGCGGUGGGCCUUGGGAAUAGGGAUUUUGUGAGUUUGGCAAGUGGGAGAUUCCCCUUGAGGUAGCAACGCAACCCUCUUGCUUCUUCCUCCUCUCAGUUUGGAAGGCUGUGCCACGUGGCAAGAAGAGAAUAAACAUCUUGGGAAUUCUGGCUGUGCUGUACAUUUGCUGUGUGGCCUUCGGCAAGCUACUGACUUCUCUGAACUCAGGAUCUACAAACUGAGGAUAAGCAACAGGAGAAUCUCUGUGAAGUACUUUAAAAACAGGAGAUGUUUGGUAAAUGUGCAGUCACGUUCAUGACUCUUCAAAUUUCUUUUGAAAUUUCUGAAAAUGCCUGGUGCGGUGGCUCAUGCCUGUAACCCCAGCACUUUGGGAGGCUGAGGCGGGUAGAUCAUGAGGUCAGGAGUUCAAGACCAGCACGGCCAAGAUGGUGAAACCCCGUCUCUCUGAUAGUCUGCACCUCAAAGGAACCAAACGAAUGCAGAGGAUCCCCUGCCACAGGAAUCACUGUCUCCAAUGCCAUGCCUGGCAGGUAAUGUACAUGAGUAAACAGGGUCAGGUGAGGACUGAGGUGAACUGAAAAUUCCAUGCCCUAUUUUAUGAGGACAGCUUCUACCUAGUUCUAACAGGCUGUUAUCAAGAUGAAAUGUGAGCCCACAGUUGAAUGCCACUAGAUAUUUAAAGAGAAAAGCUAC
This 1950-nucleotide long non-coding RNA is filed under the name Homo sapiens (human). RNAcentral's name for it is "non-protein coding lnc-TSHZ2-19:2". The record is from RNAcentral. Lineage: Eukaryota; Metazoa; Chordata; Mammalia; Primates; Hominidae.